RNAcentral lists this ribosomal RNA (468 nucleotides) under uncultured bacterium. Its description in RNAcentral is "partial 16S ribosomal RNA". It matches the Rfam family "Bacterial small subunit ribosomal RNA", at positions 28 to 507 of the family's 1533-position model. The record is from RNAcentral.
GACGAACGCUGGCGGCGUGCUUAACACAUGCAAGUCGAACGGAAAGGCCCUGCUUUUGUGGGGUGCUCGAGUGGCGAACGGGUGAGUAACACGUGAGUAACCUGCCCUUGACUUUGGGAGAACUUCAGGAAACUGGGGCUCAUACCGGCUAGGAGCUCCCGCUGCAUGGUGGGGGUUGGAAAGUUUCGGCGGUUGGGGAUGGACUCGCGGCCUAUCAGCUUGUUGGUGGGGUAGUGUCUGACCAAGGCAUUGACGGGUAGCCGGCCUGAGCGGGUGACAGGCCACAUUGGGACGGAGAUGAGGCCCAGACUACUCCGGGACGCAGGGGUGCGGAAUAUUGCACAAUGGGCGGAAGCCUGGUCCAGUAAAGCCGCGUGCGGGAUGACGGCAAUCGGGUUGUGAACCACAUUUGCCUGUCACGAAGCGUGAGUGACGGUAAUGGGUAAAGAAGCACCGGCUAACUACGUG